AUAAUGGGUCAGCGACUUAUAUUCUGUAGCAAGGUUAACCGAAUAGGGGAGCCGAAGGGAAACCGAGUCUUAACUGGGCGUUAAGUUGCAGGGUAUAGACCCGAAACCCGGUGAUCUAGCCAUGGGCAGGUUGAAGGUUGGGUAACACUAACUGGAGGACCGAACCGACUAAUGUUGAAAAAUUAGCGGAUGACUUGUGGCUGGGGGUGAAAGGCCAAUCAAACCGGGAGAUAGCUGGUUCUCCCCGAAAGCUAUUUAGGUAGCGCCUCGUGAAUUCAUCUCCGGGGGUAGAGCACUGUUUCGGCAAGGGGGUCAUCCCGACUUACCAACCCGAUGCAAACUGCGAAUACCGGAGAAUGUUAUCACGGGAGACACACGGCGGGUGCUAACGUCCGUCGUGAAGAGGGAAACAACCCAGACCGCCAGCUAAGGUCCCAAAGUCAUGGUUAAGUGGGAAACGAUGUGGGAAGGCCCAGACAGCCAGGAUGUUGGCUUAGAAGCAGCCAUCAUUUAAAGAAAGCGUAAUAGCUCACUGGUCGAGUCGGCCUGCGCGGAAGACGUAACGGGGCUAAACCAUGCACCGAAGCUGCGGCAGCGACGCUGAUGCGUUGUUGGGUAGGGGAGCGUUCUGUAAGCCUGUGAAGGUGUGCUGUGAGGCAUGCUGGAGGU
This 669-nucleotide ribosomal RNA is filed under the name Escherichia coli. RNAcentral describes it as "partial 23S ribosomal RNA". It matches the Rfam family "Bacterial large subunit ribosomal RNA", at positions 612 to 1280 of the family's 2925-position model. The record is from RNAcentral. Lineage: Bacteria; Pseudomonadati; Pseudomonadota; Gammaproteobacteria; Enterobacterales; Enterobacteriaceae.